GACGAACGCUGGCGGCGUGCUUAACACAUGCAAGUCGAACGGUAAGGCCCUUCGGGGUACACGAGUGGCGAACGGGUGAGUAACACGUGGGUUAUCUGCACUGCACUUCGGGAUAAGCCUGGGAAACUGGGUCUAAUACCGGAUAGGACCACUGGCUGUAUGGGUGGUGGGGGAAAGCUUUUGCGGUGUGGGAUGGGCCCGCGGCCUAUCAGCUUGUUGGUGGGGUGAUGGCCUACCAAGGCGACGACGGGUAGCCGGCCUGAGAGGGUGACCGGCCACACUGGGACUGAGAUACGGCCCAGACUCCUACGGGAGGCAGCAGUGGGGAAUAUUGCACAAUGGGCGCAAGCCUGAUGCAGCGACGCCGCGUGAGGGAUGACGGCCUUCGGGUUGUAAACCUCUUUCAGCACCGACGAAGCGCAAGUGACGGUAGGUGCAGAAGAAGGACCGGCCAACUACGUGCCAGCCGCCGCGGUAA
Molecule: ribosomal RNA, 478 nt
Filed under: uncultured bacterium
Lineage: Bacteria
Description: partial 16S ribosomal RNA
Rfam family: Bacterial small subunit ribosomal RNA
Source: RNAcentral